UGGCGUUGGGUGGGGUGAAGGGGAUGGUUAAAUGUUUUCAGGUGGUCCGUUAACUGUGGCAUAGAAGGAGAAUACUUUUGAUGUUUCAGGCCUCUCAAGCUCUGCCCAUCCUCCAUUUCUCUAAUUGAAGUCCAAAGAAGGAUUUUGUGGAAGUUAGAGAAUCCCAAGCAAGUAAACUGACAUCAACUACACUCUUCACAGAACUAUUUUUUUAAUAUUAUGUUUCAAAAAGAAUCAUUGUCUUGUGGCUCCUUGUUACUGUAUCUAGGACCAGCUUAAGCGUCGGUGCCACAAUAGGUAUGAUCUCACAACUAGAUAACCUGACAAUUGUGCUGCCUAGAUCAAAUAGGAAUUUCCACAAGAGAUGCCAUCCACUAAACAACUCCAAGGUCUUUGAAUGACUCAAAGUUGCAUCAUGGACUCUGCACCUAAUGAUAUCAGCCAACAAUUCUACUAACAUAUUCAUCCAUUUCACAGGCCCUAGACCGAUUCAUUUAUGGAAGAACUCAAGCAAACAGCACGUCAUCAAUCAGACAAAUAGGCAGUGUGUAAGCAUAACAUGAGAC
RNAcentral lists this long non-coding RNA (566 nucleotides) under Solanum tuberosum (potato). Its description in RNAcentral is "long non-coding RNA (STUB_LNC003968)". Lineage: Eukaryota; Viridiplantae; Streptophyta; Magnoliopsida; Solanales; Solanaceae. The record is from RNAcentral.